AAUUUGUCAGGAUUCCAAGUUGGAAUAGGUCCAAAAUGCUCAUUCUGCAAACUAAGUUGAUCUGACGGCUCAAAAUGCGGCAGACUCGAAGACAAGUCACCAAAGCCCAGUUUCAUGUCUGUCAAAUGGGCCAGAAACUUCGGUGGUGUAACAAGUCGAUUACCAUGCAACGCCCGUGCCAUCAUUCCUUCAGGAAUACUGGGGAACAAGGAUGACUUGGAAGAUUUUGUCAGCUUAAUUGUCCUAGGGCCUGGGAAGGCUGGCACAUCCAAGAUCUUCAGUUGCUCCUCCUCCCACCUAGCAGCCAAAUCUUCUGUAGUUCUAUUCUUGGAAAAUUUUAGCCUGGGGUCUCUAAGCAUCGCAUCCCAAUUAC
This 373-nucleotide unclassified non-coding RNA is filed under the name Hevea brasiliensis (rubber tree). The record is from RNAcentral. Lineage: Eukaryota; Viridiplantae; Streptophyta; Magnoliopsida; Malpighiales; Euphorbiaceae.